CAGCCGCCGCGGUAAUACUCGCGGUCCAAGUCGCAGCCAUUUUUAUUGGGUCUAAAACAUCCGUAGCUUGCUUUGCAAGUUCUUUGUGAAAUCCUGUCUCUUAAGGGCGGGGCGAGCAAAGAGUACUACAGAGCUAGAGAUUGGAAGACGUAAGAAGUAUGUUCGAAGUAGCGGUAAAAUGUGUUAAUCUCGAACAGACUAACAAGAGCGAAGGCAUCUUACGAGGACAGUUCUGACAGUAAGGGAUGAAGGCCAGGGGCGCAAAAGGGAUUAGAUACCCCUGUAGUCCUGGCAGUAAACACUGUACACUAAACAUUAGCACCUCCUCGAGAGGUAUUAGUGCUGAAGGGAAGCCGAAGAGUGUACUACCUGGGAAGUAUAGCCGCAAGGCCGAAACUUAAAGGAAUUGGCGGGGAGACACUACAACAGGUGACGCGUGCGGUUCAAUUAGAUUCUACACCGUGAACCUCACCAGGAGCGACAGCAGAAUGAAGGUCAGUCUGAAGGGCUUACCUGACACGCUGAGAGGUGGUGCAUGGCC
This 541-nucleotide ribosomal RNA is filed under the name uncultured archaeon. Its description in RNAcentral is "bacterial SSU rRNA". It matches the Rfam family "Archaeal small subunit ribosomal RNA", at positions 459 to 999 of the family's 1478-position model. The record is from RNAcentral.